AUUGAACGCUGGCGGCAGGCCUAACACAUGCAAGUCGAGCGAGCGGCGGCCGGGUGAGUAAUGUAUGGGGACUGCCCGCUAGAGGGGGAUAACUACUGGAAACGGUGGCUACUACCGCAUACUAUCGGAUAACCCAUAUGGGAUUAGCUAGGAGGUGGGGUAAAGGCUCACCUAGGCGACGAUCUCUAGCUGGUCUGAUAGGAUGAUCAUCCACACUGGGACUGGGACACGGCCCAGACUCAUACGGAGGCAGCAGUGGGGAAUAGUGCACAAUGGGCGAAAUCCUGAUGCAGCCAUGCCGAGUGUAUGAAGAAGGACUUAGGGUUUUAAAGUACUUUCAGCGGGGAGGCGUUACCCGCAGAAGAAGCACCGGCUAACUCCGUGCCAGCAGCCGCGGUAAUUC
Molecule: ribosomal RNA, 403 nt
Filed under: uncultured bacterium
Lineage: Bacteria
Description: partial 16S ribosomal RNA
Rfam family: Bacterial small subunit ribosomal RNA
Source: RNAcentral